AUUGAACGCUGGCGGCAGGCCUAACACAUGCAAGUCGAGCGAGCGGCGGACGGGUGAGUAAUGCCUAGGAAUCUGCCUGGUAGUGGGGGAUAACGUCCGGAAACGGGCGCUAAUACCGCAUACCAUCAGAUGUGCCCAGAUGGGAUUAGCUUGUUGGUGGGGUAACGGCUCACCAAGGGGACGAUCCCUAGCGGGUCUGAGAGGAUGCCCAGCCACACUGGAACUGAGACACGGUCCAGACUCCCACGGGAGGCAGCAGUGGGGAAUAUGGCACAAUGGGCGCAAGCCUGAUGCAGCCAUGCCGCGUGUAUGAAGAAGGCCUGCGGGUUGUAAAGUACAUUCAGCGGGGAGGCGUUACCCGCAGAAGAAGCAACGGCUAACUCCGUGCCAGCCGCCGCGGUAAUUC
RNAcentral lists this ribosomal RNA (406 nucleotides) under uncultured bacterium. Its description in RNAcentral is "partial 16S ribosomal RNA". It matches the Rfam family "Bacterial small subunit ribosomal RNA", at positions 29 to 526 of the family's 1533-position model. The record is from RNAcentral.